Molecule: ribosomal RNA, 126 nt
Filed under: Bacillota bacterium
Lineage: Bacteria; Bacillati; Bacillota
Source: RNAcentral
GACGGUGUUGAUAGCGAUGAGGAUCCACCUGUACCCAUACUGAACACAGAAGUUAAGCUCACUGGCGCCGACAAUAUUCGGCCAGGGACGGCCUGGGAAGAAUGGAGAAUGGGGAAGGCGCCUUAU